RNAcentral lists this long non-coding RNA (269 nucleotides) under Lynx pardinus (Iberian lynx). The record is from RNAcentral. Lineage: Eukaryota; Metazoa; Chordata; Mammalia; Carnivora; Felidae.
UAAUGACUUUCUGUCAUUCACAGCGUAUGUUCAAAGGGUUAUAAAGUGUGGAAGAUGAGAAGUGUCUAGUAUCUUUGAAAGGCAAAUGUGUGUAUAAUUUCAAAGUUUAGAACAAAUAUUACCUAUGGAGCCAAAAUGACAUCUGCUAAAUAAAUCUACAAAAUGCUAGUAAAAUUAUGCCAAACACUGUUCUUUACAAGAAAAUUAAAUACUGACUAGAAUUUUAAGUAGUGUUUUGUUUAAUAAAAUUGCAGUGUCAUAAGUUAUUA